UAGUAAAUAUGCAACAAGAAACCUUCCC
RNAcentral lists this non-coding RNA (28 nucleotides) under Mus musculus (house mouse). Lineage: Eukaryota; Metazoa; Chordata; Mammalia; Rodentia; Muridae. The record is from RNAcentral.